This 27-nucleotide non-coding RNA is filed under the name Rattus norvegicus (Norway rat). Lineage: Eukaryota; Metazoa; Chordata; Mammalia; Rodentia; Muridae. The record is from RNAcentral.
UAAGUGAUAGAAAUUAUUGUGGGAAGC